AGAGUUUGAUCAUGGCUCAGAUUGAACGCUGGCGGAAUGCUUUACACAUGCAAGUCGAACGGCAGCAUAGAGAGCUUGCUCUCUGAUGGCGAGUGGCGAACGGGUGAGUAAUAUAUCGGAACGUGCCUAGUAAUGGGGAAUAACUAGCUGAAAGGUUAGCUAAUGCCGCAUACGACCUACGGGUGAAAGCAGGGGAUCUUCGGACCUUGCGUUAUUAGAGCGGCCGAUAUCUGAUUAGCUUGUUGGUGGGGUAAUGGCCUACCAAGGCGACGAUCAGUAGCUGGUCUGAGAGGACGAUCAGCCACACUGGAACUGAGACACGGUCCAGACUCCUACGGGAGGCAGCAGUGGGGAAUUUUGGACAAUGGGGGCAACCCUGAUCCAGCCAUUCCGCGUGAGUGAAGAAGGCCUUCGGGUUGUAAAGCUCUUUCGCAAGAGAAGAAAACUUGCUAUCUAAUAA
RNAcentral lists this ribosomal RNA (460 nucleotides) under uncultured marine bacterium. RNAcentral describes it as "bacterial SSU rRNA". It matches the Rfam family "Bacterial small subunit ribosomal RNA", at positions 8 to 466 of the family's 1533-position model. The record is from RNAcentral.